This 252-nucleotide ribosomal RNA is filed under the name uncultured bacterium. RNAcentral's name for it is "partial 16S ribosomal RNA". It matches the Rfam family "Bacterial small subunit ribosomal RNA", at positions 524 to 776 of the family's 1533-position model. The record is from RNAcentral.
UACGUAGGGGGCGAGCGUUGUCCGGAAUUAUUGGGCGUAAAGGGUACGUAGGCGGUUUUUUAAGUCAGCAGUUAAAGCGCGGGGCUCAACCCCGUAAAGCUGUUGAAACUGGAGAACUUGAGAGAUGGAGAGGAAAGUGGAAUUCCUAGUGUAGCGGUGAAAUGCGUAGAUAUUAGGAGGAAUACCGGUGGCGAAGGCGACUUUCUGGACAUCAACUGACGCUGAGGUACGAAAGCGUGGGGAGCAAACAGG